This 898-nucleotide ribosomal RNA is filed under the name uncultured bacterium. RNAcentral's name for it is "bacterial SSU rRNA". It matches the Rfam family "Bacterial small subunit ribosomal RNA", at positions 11 to 915 of the family's 1533-position model. The record is from RNAcentral.
GUUUGAUCCUGGCUCAGGAUGAACGCUAGCGGCAGGCUUAACACAUGCAAGUCGAGGGGUAUAGGUUUUCGGACCUAGAGACCGGCGCACGGGUGCGUAACGCGUAUGCAAUCUACCUUUUGCAGAGGGAUAGCCCAGAGAAAUUUGGAUUAAUACCUCAUAGUAUAUAUGAAUGGCAUCAUUUAUAUAUUAAAGUCACAACGGCAAAAGAUGAGCAUGCGUCCCAUUAGCUAGUUGGUAUGGUAACGGCAUACCAAGGCGACGAUGGGUAGGGGUCCUGAGAGGGAGAUCCCCCACACUGGUACUGAGACACGGACCAGACUCCUACGGGAGGCAGCAGUGAGGAAUAUUGGACAAUGGGCGCAAGCCUGAUCCAGCCAUGCCGCGUGCAGGAUGACGGUCCUAUGGAUUGUAAACUGCUUUUGCACAGGAAGAAACAUCCCGACGUGUCGGGACUUGACGGUACUGUGAGAAUAAGGAUCGGCUAACUCCGUGCCAGCAGCCGCGGUAAUACGGAGGAUCCAAGCGUUAUCCGGAAUCGUUGGGUUUAAAGGGUCCGUAGGCGGUCUUAUAAGUCAGUGGUGAAAUCUCCCCGCUCAACGGGGAAACGGCCAUUGAUACUGUAGGACUUGAAUUAUUAGGAAGUAACUAGAAUAUGUAGUGUAGCGGUGAAAUGCUUAGAGAUUACAUGGAAUACCAAUUGCGAAGGCAGGUUACUACUAAUGGAUUGACGCUGAUGGACGAAAGCGUGGGUAGCGAACAGGAUUAGAUACCCUGGUAGUCCACGCCGUAAACGAUGGAUACUAGCUGUUGGGAGCAAUCUCAGUGGCUAAGCGAAAGUGAUAAGUAUCCCACCUGGGGAGUACGUUCGCAAGAAUGAAACUCAAAGGAAUUGACG